Molecule: non-coding RNA, 24 nt
Filed under: Mus musculus (house mouse)
Lineage: Eukaryota; Metazoa; Chordata; Mammalia; Rodentia; Muridae
Source: RNAcentral
UAGAAGCAGCAGUUUUCUUACUGG